This 73-nucleotide transfer RNA is filed under the name Camelus ferus (Wild Bactrian camel). It matches the Rfam family "tRNA". From Rfam's summary of the family: Transfer RNA (tRNA) molecules are approximately 80 nucleotides in length. Their secondary structure includes four short double-helical elements and three loops (D, anti-codon, and T loops). Further hydrogen bonds mediate the characteristic L-shaped molecular structure. tRNAs have two regions of fundamental functional importance: the anti-codon, which is responsible for specific mRNA codon recognition, and the 3' end, to which the tRNAs corresponding amino acid is attached (by aminoacyl-tRNA synthetases). tRNAs cope with the degeneracy of the genetic code in two manners: having more than one tRNA (with a specific anti-codon) for a particular amino acid; and 'wobble' base-pairing, i.e. permitting non-standard base-pairing at the 3rd anti-codon position. Lineage: Eukaryota; Metazoa; Chordata; Mammalia; Artiodactyla; Camelidae. The record is from Rfam by way of RNAcentral.
GAGGGUAUAGCUCAAGUGGUAGAGCCCAUGCUUAGCAUGUGUGAGGUCCUAGGUUCAAUCCCCAGUACCUCCU